RNAcentral lists this long non-coding RNA (8817 nucleotides) under Gossypium barbadense (sea-island cotton). RNAcentral's name for it is "long non-coding RNA (GBAR_LNC009836)". The stretch from base 2049 to 2193 matches the Rfam family "MIR7502 microRNA precursor family". The record is from RNAcentral. Lineage: Eukaryota; Viridiplantae; Streptophyta; Magnoliopsida; Malvales; Malvaceae.
GACCAAGGGUUGUACAACAAGAUCGGUGGAACCAACGGUGGUGGUGGUAAAGAUGAGCUUGGGGAUAGUUUCAAAAGAGAUAUGAGAGAGUUACAAGAACUGUUCUCUAAGCUUAACCCCAUGGCUGAAGAGUUUGUACCUCACUCGCUUGUUAACAAUGGACUCAAUGGUGGGUUUCACACUAACAAUAUUGCUUUACAAAACAACAAUAACAACAUCUCAAGGAAUGGUAAUGCUAAUUGCAAUGGUGGUGGUAAAAGGGUAUGUCACCAAAACCCCCAGUUAUUUUCAUUGAUGCUUAGUGUACAUUUUGUGUAAGGAAAUUGAUAUGCUUUGAGUAUUAUUGCUGUACUGGUCUUAUGCUUGGUAUGGUUGGUUCUUAUUUUAGGGUUUUUUUGGCUGAUAACUUAAAAAAUCGAAUUAUUCGAGUUCCUGUGAUGGUCUCACCCUAUAUCCAAUGGGCGGUAACUACAUUGUGUAUCUGUUUUCUCAAUAAUGGAGAUGAUGAAAUGGGAUUUAAUUGAACAAAUUUGGUUGAGUGGGGGUUAUCCUUUUAUGUUAUGUACAUUUUAAACCGUACGAAAGCUUAAAUUCCGAAUAUUAGCGAAAUUCCGUAUGAUAUCAUGGAUUUUGUUCAUUCAUUUCGUUUUUCUCAGAAGAAAAAUUUAGGUCAAGGGAAACGGAAAUCGAACAGCAGGACAAGUAUGGCUCAAAGAGAAGAGGUUAUCCGUAGGACUGUUUAUGUGUCUGAUAUCGACCACCAGGUAUGUUUAUAUAUUCAGCAUCAGCUUUGUUUGUAUGCCGCAAUUAAAUUCUUCUGUUUUGGAUUUGUCAUCUCUUAUUGGGAUGCAGGUCACAGAGGAGCAGCUUGCCGGUUUAUUUGUGGGUUGUGGGCAGGUGAUGUUAUUUUCAUUGCUUGUCUUUGCAGUUUUAUCAAAAACAACCUAUCUGAAUGUACUUUUUUCUUCUGAAGGUGGUUGACUGUCGCAUAUGUGGUGAUCCUAACUCUGUACUUCGUUUUGCUUUUAUCGAGUUUACUGAUGAAGGUGAUGUUCAACCAUGGUUAUUUGUUUCAUUCUUUAGCGGAUAAACGUGGUAUUUACAUUCUUUACCAUGCAGAAGGUGCACAAGCUGCACUGAACCUGGCAGGAACUAUGCUUGGAUUCUAUCCAGUUAGGGUGCUGCCUUCGAAAACAGCUAUCGCACCUGUUAACCCGACAUUUUUGCCAAGGGUGAGGCUGAUUGUCGUAAAUUAUACCAGAACUUCUUGCAUUUUCUUUAUGUAUUCGGCCCGUUAAAACAUUUGUUAUUUGGAUUUCAGAAUGAGGAUGAGCGUCAAAUGUGUGCGAGAACUAUCUACUGUACAAACAUUGACAAGAAGGUGAGAAGCUUUUUUGCAUUUUAUAAUGUUGAAUAUAAAAAUGAUCCCGAUUGCAAAUAACCCUUUAAACUUUUUAUUAUAUGAUUUUACAUACUGCAGGUUACUCAAGCUGAUGUUAAACUCUUUUUCGAGACAGUCUGUGGGGAGGUUUGUUUAACUCUGGUGUUCUGUUUUUACUAUUUAUUACGACAAAAACCUAUCGAGAUGCAUUUAAAGGGAGUACUUGUCUGAUGCAGGUUUACCGCCUGAGGUUGCUUGGGGACUAUCAGCAUUCAACUCGCAUUGCUUUUGUCGAGUUUGUAAUGGUAGUUGUUUUUUUCCUCUUCAUUCAUGCAAUUUGACUGAACAACUUUUCCCUUGUUUAUCGAGGCUUUAAUGAGGUAUACAAGUACAUGACCUUUAGAUCUGAAAAUUUUGGCUAGCCGGUCGGUAUUCCCCUUUGGAAGAGUGCAUUCUCGUGCGAGCUGUGGUUUUUGUUUUCGUGGAUUAAAUUCAAAAGCAAAAAACUCGAUUUAACUGUUGAAUUCUAGUAUAGUAGGCGGUACUGCAUAGGGUAAAAGUACCAUGGAGGACCUUGUACUAGGAGUUGGAUUUUAUUUUGCUCCCCUACUCAAAAAAUUGGCAAAUUAGUCCCUAUACGUUAGAUCAAAGUGCUAAGUGGCCUUUCUGUGAAAAUUUUUAUCCAUUUCUACUGUUAAAACCUGGUCCAUGUACAUUAAUUUAAGGUACAUGUGGCUUGCUAUGUGACACUGUCUGGUUAUUCUGUUAAUUACGCCAGUUUCUAGCAGUACAAAUGAAUGUAUUUUUUGACAAAAAAAAAACUAAUUUGCUUUUUGAUUUAACAUAAAAGGACUAGUUUGUCCAUAUUUUGGGUAUAGGAGGCAAAAUGUAAUUUGACUUCUAGUAUAGGGGCAUGCAUGGUACUUUUACUGCAUAGAUAACACUCCUCGGAGCUUUGGAUUUUGUUCCUCUGUUUGGCUUAUUGAACCUUUGUUGGCUUAUUGGAAAAGUUAUUGGUGUUUCAACACGGGUUUAAACUUUGGAAGUGAUAUUUAAUGCCUAUUAGUCACCCCGAGAUUGGGUUACCUCAGUGUUGAUGAACGAAAGAUUGAGUUCUCUCGUAUUCACCUGCAGGCUGAAAGUGCGAUUGCUGCUCUCAACUGUAGUGGUGUGGUUCUGGGAUCAUUGCCUAUAAGGUUAGAUUCCCGAUUCUCCCAUCAGUUGUUGUAAUGAUAUAUUCUCUCGGUUUUCUUUUUUUUUUUCACCGUAAUUUCUAUCCAAAUAUCAAUAAAAAGUAUAUAUAUAUGUUGCGUUUUAAGUGAAAACCUCGGGUGUUGUGUAUGAACAGGGUCAGCCCAUCAAAGACCCCAGUUCGGCCACGAGCUCCUCGCCUUCCCUCGUACUAAAUCAUUCACUCCAAACCGAUUUUAGUUCCAAGUUUAUAUAUAUAUAUUUAAAUACAUACACAGCCAUGUAAAGAUGUUUCCCCAUGUUGCUCUUGCUGAUCUACAUAUAUAUCGUCCACUGCUGCUAUGUUUCGGCAUCUUCGUUUACCAUAGGAGUCUUGUCUUUUCUUUAUCCACGCAUGCAACUUUGCGGUACAUAGAGAAUUCUGAUGGAACUUCGAGACUUUUCGAACAAUGUUAUGCAUUAUUGCCCUCUAAUCUUGGACAGAAUUUGACACUAUCUGGUAAUUAAAGACUAUGUGAAUGAUGAAGUGGUACUUUUAGUACACAUUUUUUGAGUUAUUUCUACUAAUGGAUGAUGCUUUUCCUUUUGGAUGUUUUUCUUUUACCAGCAUUGGUUCAAAGUUGGCUUUGUGUUGUGCUGCAUUUUCAUGACAUGACAUUGCACUACUAGGUAAUGUCCAAAUAAUGACUAGUUCUGAACCGGAUAUUGAUCAACUCGGUGAGUUGAAUGAUUACCACAGAUAUUUGAAGCAUACUGAAGCAUACUAAGAACAGGCAUUUUCUUUAAAAAAAAAAAUUACACUUAUAGUCAUCUAAUUAUUCGUAAAGUAUUUUUUGAUUACUUAAUUAUGCAAAGUUAUAAAAUAAUCACUCAUCUAUUUGAUUUUUUUUUUCACUAAUCAUUAAAUGGCUAAUGAAAAUGUGAGAUGUCAGUUUUUAAAUUUGGUAUUAUAGCAAUUUUGAUCACCAACAUUUAUAUAUUAUGUCAAUUUACUCUUUUAUUUUAAAAAAAUUAGGGAAUUAAUUGAACGAGUAGUGAAGUUCUUUGCGUUCAUCGGAGAUGGUAAACAACGAUGGAGAUCAAAAUGACAAAAGUAAGUAGCUUAGUUGAACUAAUAUUAAAUUGGUCAAGCAUGAACAUAUGAAAUCAGUAUCGAAGAUUGAAUCAUUUUAACAUAUUGUGAAAUCAAUAUCGAAGAUUGAAUCAUUUUAGCAUUUAGUGUUCAACUUAAUGGUGGAGAAUCAAAGUAUCAUUGGAAAAAAAGAAGAAGAGAAAAAGUGAAUUAUGUUCUUGGAUGUUUUGGUGUUUUCAAUUUUGGUAUUUCUUAAUUAAAUGUAGUUGAUAAAGUUGUUUUUUUUUUUAGCUUUGUAGGUGUAAGGCAAUUAAAAUUGUAAAAAAAUAUUAAAUUAAACAAUGCAUGAAAGUUGAGUGUUAAUUUUUUUAUAAGUAAAAUUAAAUUGACACAAUGUAUAAAUGUUUGAAGAUUAAAAUUACAAUUCUAUCAGUCUUGGCUAACGGUUAGUGGCAAAAAAGAACAAAUUGAAUAGUCAAAAGAAAAUAUAAAGAGGUAGGUUGGGCCAUGACCCCUUAAAUUAAAAAUUUGUAAUUCUAGCCUCAUAUAAAUAAUUAAAAUAUAAAUUAACAUAUGAUAAAAUUAUACAUUGCCCUUAAAAUAAAAAAAAAUAUUUUAUUUUAAGUCCUUAAAAAAUUAAUAAAAUUAUAAUUUAAUACAUAAUAAAGUCUUUAUUAUCGCAUCUCAAAAAUUUAUAAUUCAAUUUUUAUCACUUAAAAAAAAUUCUGGGCAUUUUGUUUCAAUGCCAGAAAACAUAGAAAAACCUAAUCCCUGUUUCAAUCUCUGCUCUAUUUGCUGCUCAGAAGCCAAAGGGGUUCUAAUCUGUAUGCAAGCCAUUAAAGCUCUAGUUUCUUCUUUCUCAUGUUAUCUUGUAUACUUUAUCUCUAUUACAGUUGUUAAUGACAAAUAUAUGACAGUGCCCCAUUUGUUUUUUCACAUUUGUACUAAUAUAGCAUUAUUUUUAAAAUAUAAUCUAUCUCCAGAUGACAUAUAUUCUAUAGUACUUACAGGUUUUGAAGUACUAGUACUACUUAUUCUAUCAAUCAUCCAAUCUUUUGGUAUUGACAGAUCUUUUAGAUGCAGUAAUUUUGGUUGUAUCUCUGUAGUAAAUUUAUUGGGUUCAAAUAACUCAAUUAUUUUAUUAUUAAUUUCUUUAAUUUCUACUUCUGCCGUGUUGGUUAUGAUUUCCAAUCUUAUAAAGAAUAAUAGAACAUUGGAAAGUCAAAUUCACUAAAAGUACUGAUAAAAAUGAAAGAAUAGAAUACUUAAAAUUAAUAGAAGAACUUUAUGAAAAACAUAAAGAUUUAUGAAAAACCUGUAAGUACUAUAGAAUAUAUGUCAUCUGGAGAUAGACUAUAUUUUAAAAAUAAUGCUAUAACAAAUACAAAUGAUAAUUUAGUUUUACCUUCUAAUUCUCAAAUAGAGGAAGAAGAAGAUAAUAUUAGUACAAAUUCGACAACACCAAUAGGUAUGAAAACAGUUCAAAUACCUAUUUUCCCUACUGAACCUAGUAGAAAUUCUAGAAUGGAAGAAAUACAAUCUACUACUAUUAUUCAACAAAUAAAAAUAGGAAAAAAUGAUAUUAUUACAUUUUCAAAUUUCCAACCUAGGAAAUAUUAUACAUAUAUAGAAAUUACACUUCAAUUUAGAGACUAUAAAACAUAUUCUUUGCAUGCUUUAUUAGAUACUGGAGCUACCACAAGUAGUUGUAGAGAAAAUGCCAUUCCUGUAGAAAAAUGGGAAUUAAUGAAAAACCCAAUUAGAGCUAUAGGAAUUGAUGGUAAAGAAACCAUAAUCCAAUUUAAAGCUAGAAAUAUACCAAUUUACAUAAAUAAUGUAAGAUUUGUAAUUCCUAAAAUAUUGUGUUUUCCUGAAAUGCAUGGAGACAUAUUAUUAGGAAAUAAUUUUAUAUAUUAUUAUCUACCGUUUUCUAUAGAUAGAAAUUUAGUAAUAUUAUCAACAGAAAAAACUUCUGUAGAAAUACCUUUAAUAGAAAACCAUAAAUUUGUAUGUGAUAAAGAAAAUAUAGAUUCUAUAGGAAAUAGAAUUAAUUUUGCGAGAAAAAGAAUAACUCUACAUUGUCUACAAACUAAAGCGGCUAAACAAGUAAAAAAUAAAUUAACUUAUAGUAAUUGUACAAAAAUUCUAGAAAAUGAAUGAGAAUUUGGAUGUAAAACAACACGUCCUAAUACUUAUAAAAAACAUAAAAAGAAAAAUAGAAAAUAUAAAUUUAUUAGGUGAAAACAAGGAAAUAAAAAAUAUACUGGUAAGAAAAAGAAAAAAAUUGUUAGAAAAAAAACUUCCAAAAAAUUUAAAAAACAUAUAUGUAAAUGUUUUAUUUGUGUGAAGAAGGCCAUAUAGCACCAAAUUGUCCUAAUAAAUGAAAAAGUGCUAAAAAGAUGAUUAAAAGUCUUGAAGAACAAGAUUUAGAAAUUUGUUACGAAGAGGAAAUAAAUCCUGAAGAAAUGAGUUAAUGUCAGAAACAGAUUCUGAUUCAGAUGAAGAAAAAUACAUAUUUAUGUUUAAUGUUUUUGCAGUUAUAUAUUGGAGCUCGUACCUGUUCCAUAAUCUGCAACAAAAUGAUGAUGAUGAUGGUCACCAUCACCAUCACCAUCACCAUCCCUUUCUCUUCCUCUCUAUUAUUAAUAUAUCCCUUCACUUUCAUCCUAUCGCUUGCAUUUUCACCAUGGUAAACAAAACACCGACCUCGUGGUUGUCAAUGGCGAAAAGGGCUUUCGGGUCUAAUGCUAUACAUAACGAGAAAAAGAGUUGCAGAACAAGAGAGAAAAGAUGAUGGCUAUUUAAAUGGCCUCAACGACGUAAACCCAAAACCAAAUCACAAUCCAUUGCAGCUGUUAACAUCGUUAGCCAUUGUUGGUGAAAAAAACCAAGCUGCCAUUGUCAUUCAAACAGCUUUUAGAGGCUACAUAGUAAGUGAAAGAUUCUCUCUCUCUAUAUCAUUAACUGUUUAUUUAGUGUUUUUGAUGAAAUUUUUUUUGUGAAAGGCAAGGAAAGCAUUGGGAGCAUUGUAAGGGGUAGUGAAGCUUCAAGCUUUAGUGAGAGGGUACAAUGUGAGAAGGCGAGCAAAGGUGGCACUAAAAUGCAUGCAAUCUUUGGUUCGAGUACAAAUCGAGUGCUGCUCCAUCAACAACGAGCAAGGCUUUCAUAUGAAGGAUGUAGAAGGGCCAUGUUUAUUGAAUCCAAUUCAUCGUUGGAAUCUCCAUGUCUGCAAGAUGUUCGUAGCAGAGAGUCCAUCGUAAGUGCUCUAACUUUUUUUCAUUUAGUUUUACUGAGUUCCAUAAAUAGUUUAGCACUCUAGUUCUAGUUAAUAAUUUUGGUAACGAACGUCUUUAGGUACUCUCUUUUAAGAUUAAUUAUUAUAUACUAUAUGUAGUACAGCAGAAAUAUAUUUAUCAUUUGCGGAUUUUAACACUGACCAAAACUUGUUUCGAUUCGGAAAAAUUGAAAAAUAUUUCGAAGUUCGAGUUAAUCGAAUUAAGUUAAAUUUUACUAUUCGAAUAAAUUAAAUAAUUCGAAUAACAGGUUGAUCUAAAUAUUCUUUUUGUUCCUACCAAUUUUAAAAAUAAGCAAGUUGAACUCUCUCAAUAAAAAUUACAAAAAAAAUAAAAAUAAUUUUUAAAAUUUAACAUAUUUAUAAAAAUUUAAAAAUUUAUAUAUAUUUUUAAAAAUUAUAAAUAUUCUAAAAAUUCUAAAAAAUACAUAAAGAAAUCUAAAAUUUUAAAAAUUUUCUAAAAUAAAAAUUUUGAAUACCUAAAAAAGUUGAUUAAUGAUUUAAGUUUAUGCUAUUAAAUAUCAUAUUAUUAUUAUUUUUUAUUUUUUUGAAAAAGUUUUCAAAUAUAUAUGAUUUCAAAUUUUUGUGCUUUAAUAUAAAAUUAGUUAUAAUGUAACAAUAUUUUAAUUUAACUCGAUUAAAAAAAUUCAAAUUAAAUUAAAAAGAUAAAAUAGGACUCGUGAACUCGAUUAAUUUAAAAUUUUUUUUACUCAAUUUAAUCGAAAGCUCAACUCUAACUGACUGAAUAAUUUAACUCAAUUAACAUUGGUACAAUUGAAAUUAAGAGAAAGUGAUUCCACUAUAAUUAAAUACGUAUUAUCUUUUAAUUUAGACGUUUAGGAUAAAAAUAUAAUGGACCAAACAGGGCCUAGACUCAAUUUAAAACUAAUUUUCAUGCGGGCUCAAAUCCACCCAAAUGGUACAUUUUAUUGUUAAAAAGAUUAAAAUAUUGUAAUUUAAAUUUAAUUAUAAAAAUAUUAAAAUAAUGAUUUAUAUUAGCCUGACAAAAGUCCUUAUUAGAAUCAUGCUAAUAGUUUGAAGGCUCAAUUAAAAUACCUUAAAGUUUAGGUAUGGAUUUAAAAUGCUAAUAUUUUGCUGUUAAUUCAUUUCAAUUUCGUGUUCUUCGCGGUGAUCUCGAGGUCGGGUUCUAGUUUUUUUUUCAUCAAUGGAGAAUAUUGUAGCUUUAGCUUAGUUUCUGAAACAGAUUCUUAAAUAAUUAUACCCAACAUUUCAAAACUCUAUUUUUGCUUUUAAAAUUUCUCUGUUUGGGUUUAUAAAUUUUGGGUUUUUAUUUUUGUUUUUGAUCAGAUGCUAAAAAAGGGAGUUUUUUAUUUAUUUAAAGAAUAGGGAUAAUCUAAUCUAAUCUAAUCAUCAGGCCAUGGCUGUUGUUGAGAAUGCUUCGAAUCAAGACACGGAGGCUGCAACAGUGACGUCAAACGACCAAGAUCAGUCAAAGCUUCGGUCAACAACCGAUCUGAGCUUACACGACAACGAUCAAGGGUUGUACAACAAGAUCGGUGGAACCAACGGUGGUGGUGGUAAAGAUGAGCUUGGGGAUAGUUUCAAAAGAGAUAUGAGGGAGUUACAAGAACUGUUCUCUAAGCUUAACCCCAUGGCUAAAGAGUUUGUACCUCACUCGCUUGUUAACAACGGACUCAAUGGUGGGUUUCACACUAACAAUAUUGCUUUUCAAAACAACAAUAACAACAUCUCAAGGAAUGGUAAUGCUAAUUGCAAUGGUGGUGGUAAAAGGGUAUGUCACCAAAACCCGAGUUAUUUUCAUUGAUGCUUAGUGUACAUUUUGUAUAAGGAAAUUGAUAUGCUUUGUGAGUAUUAUUGCUGUAUUGGUCUUAUGCUUGGUAGGGUUGGUUCUUAUUUUAG